This 253-nucleotide ribosomal RNA is filed under the name uncultured bacterium. RNAcentral's name for it is "partial 16S ribosomal RNA". It matches the Rfam family "Bacterial small subunit ribosomal RNA", at positions 524 to 776 of the family's 1533-position model. The record is from RNAcentral.
CACGAACCGUACGAACGUUAUUCGGAAUUACUGGGCUUAAAGGGUUUGUAGGCGGCCAUGUAAGUCAGGUGUGAAAUCCCUCGGCUCAACCGAGGAACGGCGCUUGAUACUGCACGGCUUGAGGGAGACAGGGGUAAGCGGAACUGAUGGUGGAGCGGUGAAAUGCGUUGAUAUCAUCAGGAACACCGGUGGCGAAAGCGGCUUACUGGGUCUCUUCUGACGCUGAGGAACGAAAGCUAGGGUAGCGAACGGG